Molecule: long non-coding RNA, 473 nt
Organism: Suricata suricatta (meerkat)
Lineage: Eukaryota; Metazoa; Chordata; Mammalia; Carnivora; Herpestidae
Exons: 3
Source: RefSeq, a predicted model, not a curated record
UGGGAGUCAGGAAAAGCUCAAUGUACCCAGAGCUGAAGUAUGGAAAAGCCCCAGCUCUGUAAUAAGUCAGGGUCAGGAGUGUGGUGGAUUUUCCCUCUUAUAAUUUAGGUUAAAGAGCUCUGCUAGGAGUAUCAGGACGUCCUGCCAAGCUGUAGACUGAUCACACGUGUAGUGGGUGUCCCUGUGUCAAGAAGGUCUUCCAGGAGGAGCCGGAGAUGCGUGGGGUCUACUCUUGAGGGGGCUAGAUCCCGUACGUUCUUAUAGAGCCAAGAGCAGCUCUAUGCACCGUUCAAGGGCAAGGGGAAAUGAUACAAAAUUGUAUGAUUUUCCUUAUGGAAAGUCCCCUCUGUCCAAGAUGUGGAAAAAGGAUUGUGGGGAGAGACAAGUCUGACUAUCAAGAAACUUACUGGAGACAUCCAUUCUGGUGAUGAGUAAUGGAACUAACACAGAGACACUGGGGACGGAGAGGCAAU